This 492-nucleotide ribosomal RNA is filed under the name uncultured bacterium. RNAcentral describes it as "partial 16S ribosomal RNA". It matches the Rfam family "Bacterial small subunit ribosomal RNA", at positions 29 to 507 of the family's 1533-position model. The record is from RNAcentral.
AGUGAACGCUGGCGGUAGGCUUAACACAUGCAAGUCGAACGGCAGCACAGUAAGAGCUUGCUCUUACGGGUGGCGAGUGGCGGACGGGUGAGGAAUACAUCGGAAUCUACUUUUUCGUGGGGGAUAACGUAGGGAAACUUACGCUAAUACCGCAUACGACCUACGGGUGAAAGCAGGGGAUCUUCGGACCUUGCGCGAUUGAAUGAGCCGAUGUCGGAUUAGCUAGUUGGCGGGGUAAAGGCCCACCAAGGCGACGAUCCGUAGCUGGUCUGAGAGGAUGAUCAGCCACACUGGAACUGAGACACGGUCCAGACUCCUACGGGAGGCAGCAGUGGGGAAUAUUGGACAAUGGGCGCAAGCCUGAUCCAGCCAUACCGCGUGGGUGAAGAAGGCCUUCGGGUUGUAAAGCCCUUUUGUUGGGAAAGAAAAGCAGCAGGUUAAUACCCCGCUGUUCUGACGGUACCCAAAGAACAAGCACCGGCUAACUUCGUG